Parelaphostrongylus tenuis is the source of this 72-nucleotide non-coding RNA. The record is from the annotation of a GenBank genome assembly. NCBI's taxonomy places the organism in Eukaryota, Metazoa, Nematoda, Chromadorea, Rhabditida, Metastrongylidae.
GCCACGGUGGUGUAGUGUUAGCACGCGUCUCUGGUAUGGGCGAAGCGCGCGUUCAACUUCCGUCUGUGGUCA